This 253-nucleotide ribosomal RNA is filed under the name uncultured bacterium. Its description in RNAcentral is "partial 16S ribosomal RNA". It matches the Rfam family "Bacterial small subunit ribosomal RNA", at positions 524 to 776 of the family's 1533-position model. The record is from RNAcentral.
UACGAAGGGGGCUAGCGUUGUUCGGAUUUACUGGGCGUAAAGCGCACGUAGGCGGAUCGAUCAGUCAGGGGUGAAAUCCCAGGGCUCAACCCUGGAACUGCCUUUGAUACUGUCGAUCUGGAGUAUGGAAGAGGUGAGUGGAAUUCCGAGUGUAGAGGUGAAAUUCGUAGAUAUUCGGAGGAACACCAGUGGCGAAGGCGGCUCACUGGUCCAUUACUGACGCUGAUGCACGAAAGCUAGGGUAGCGAAAGGG